UGGGGAAUUGUUCGCAAUGGGCGCAAGCCUGACGACGCAACGCCGCGUGGAGGAUGAAGAAUUUCGGUUCGUAAACUCCUGUCGAGCGGGACGAAAGAUGCGCGGGUUAAUACCCCGCGCAAGUGACGGUACCGCUAAAGGAAGCCCCGGCUAACUCCGUGCCAGCAGCCGCGGUAAUACGGGGGGGGCAAGCGUUGUUCGGAAUUACUGGGCGUAAAGGGCUCGUAGGCGGCCAACUAAGUCACACGUGAAAUCCCUCGGCUCAACCGGGGAACUGCGUGUGAGACUGGAUGGCUUGAGUUUGGGAGAGGAAUGCGGAAUUCCAGGUGUAGCGGUGAAAUGCGUAGAUAUCUGGAGGAACACCGGUGGCGAAGGCGGCAUUCUGGACCAACACUGACGCUGAGGAGCGAAAGCCAGGGGAGCAAAC
RNAcentral lists this ribosomal RNA (427 nucleotides) under uncultured bacterium. Its description in RNAcentral is "bacterial SSU rRNA". It matches the Rfam family "Bacterial small subunit ribosomal RNA", at positions 355 to 773 of the family's 1533-position model. The record is from RNAcentral.